Oreochromis niloticus (Nile tilapia) is the source of this 282-nucleotide long non-coding RNA. RefSeq lists it as uncharacterized. The record is from RefSeq and is a predicted model, not a curated record. NCBI's taxonomy places the organism in Eukaryota, Metazoa, Chordata, Actinopteri, Cichliformes, Cichlidae. The transcript is spliced from 4 exons.
GUUGCCGUGGUUACACAGCAAAGGCAGUCUUUCCACUGAUCCCCCUCCCCCGAUGGCGGAACAGAGGGCGUUUUCCCUGUUGGCCACAGGACAAAACACAAACAACCGGCUCAUCCCUGCAGUCGGAGAAAAGGCAGGGUUGUAAUGUUUCCAGCCCACCUGGAGGAUGACAAUGCAAAGAGAAACUGAUGAUGAAAAUCACACAAAAGCCAAGUGUCGUAAUGGGACUUCCAGUGAUCGAGAGGCGAAUGAUGGCAAGACGACCUGAAAGAGGACAGUGGC